UUCUGAAACAGACUUGCAGCAGGAAAUGGUGUCUGAGAAAAAUGAGCACUGCAGUAGCCUGAUCUGUUCCACUGCUUCACAAUGUGAUCUCCUGGAGGGUCACGUCACUCCUAGAAGUUCAGGCUCCAGAACUUGUUCUUCACUGUCAUCACCAGCCCGUUUAGAGUCACCAAGGGAAAAGAACAAAGUAUACAGGGUGUUUGUCCCACAUUCUCACCUUGACGUACAUGUUGGCCAUCGGGUACGGGUUCUGUUGCCAUCAGGAAGAAUCAGCACUGGCACCAUUCAGUUCCUUGGAUUCUUGUCGAGCUUGCAAGAUUUUCGCAUUGGGGUAGAAUUAGAGAGCCCUGAAUAUGGUCAGCAUGAUGGGGUAUUUGAAGGUCAACGCUAUUUCCACUGCAAACCAGGUCAUGGAGUUUUUGUCAGCUUCAACAAACUGUUAAUGGCCUGGGAGUAACUUCUCCGUGUUUCCAGUAUGUGUGUCCCAUCGAGCAGCUCACAGUGCCUUAAGUGGAGUAUCGGACAUGCCAAGGAAGAAAUGUGUGAGAAGAAAUAUCAACUUUCUGCGUCUAACACUUGAAAGAAUUUAAACAAGGAAAUUUGAAGCAUAUGAUACAUUCAUUUAAAUAUAUUUGGUUAUCUUUAUAUUUACUGUGAUGAAGUAGAACUAAAAUGAAAGAGAAGCACAACAAUCAAAUAAGGAUAAAAUCUGCAGAGUUCCUUUGAACUUCAGCCUCUUUAAGGCUUCUCUGACUCUCGUUGGCACAGCUUUUGUCCUCAUGUUGAACAAUGGCAUCUACAGACGUUGAAGGGUAGAAACAAGCCAAGGUAUCUUAUGCCUGCACUACUGAAGCAGUGAAACACACCUGAUUAACCACAAAUACCUGUGGUGUCAACUGCCCCAAAACAUUAUGGUGCUCUGAAAUGGGGGGACCGUGAUGUAUAAAAAGUGUUGUCAAUUCUAAAUGCUG
Molecule: RNA transcript, 971 nt
Organism: Polypterus senegalus (gray bichir)
Lineage: Eukaryota; Metazoa; Chordata; Cladistia; Polypteriformes; Polypteridae
Gene name: CAP-Gly domain-containing linker protein 4-like
Exons: 4
Source: RefSeq, a predicted model, not a curated record